CACGCGAACCCCAAGCGUUAUCCGGAUUUACUGGGCGUAAAGGGUACGUAGGCGGCACUGUCAGUCUUUUGUCAAAGACCUCAGCUCAACUGAGGAACGGCAAAGGAUACGACAGUGCUUGAGGGUGCGAGAGGUGUACGGAACCCACGGUGUAGAGGUGAAAUUCGUUGAUAUCGUGGGGAACGCCAAAGGCGAAGGCAGUACACUGGCGCAUUCCUGACGCUGAGGUACGAAAGCCAGGGUAGCGAAGAGG
This 253-nucleotide unclassified non-coding RNA is filed under the name uncultured bacterium. Its description in RNAcentral is "contains 16S-23S intergenic spacer region". It matches the Rfam family "Bacterial small subunit ribosomal RNA", at positions 524 to 776 of the family's 1533-position model. The record is from RNAcentral.